AGUAGAGGCGAUUGAACAGGGAAGAGCACAAAAUGUAAAUCUCAGCGGUAACGCUGCGAAUUGUAGUCUCAAGUUGCAUUACCAGCUUAGUCGUAAGGUAAAUUCUUCUGGAGUGAAGAACCGCAGAGGGUGAGAGUCCCGUAUGUCUUACGAUACUAGGUGCACGGUGUGUACACAAAGAGUCGCGCUCCUUGGGAAUGGAGCGCUAAGUGGGUGGUAAAUGUCAUCCAAUGCUAAAUAUUGGUGGGAGACCGAUAGCGAACAAGUACCGUGAGGGAAAGAUGAAAAGAACUUUGAAAAGAGAGUUAAACAGUGCUUGAAAUUGUUGAGAGGGAAGCGAUUUGGUUCAUGGUAUUGUUUUGGGUGGUGGAGAGAGGAUGUUGGUUUUCUGACAUUUUUGAAGCCAUCAGCCAAACGCCAGCAUGGGUUUUGUGUGUGGUAUUAUAGUUUUUUAGGUUGUUGGUUCACGCCAAGCCUGAGGGUACUCAUCACAUGCAAGACCGAGGUGACAAUGGAUAGGGUUUUAUGAACCAGGGAGCUUGCUCCUCU
RNAcentral lists this ribosomal RNA (549 nucleotides) under uncultured alveolate. RNAcentral's name for it is "eukaryotic LSU rRNA". It matches the Rfam family "Eukaryotic large subunit ribosomal RNA", at positions 82 to 635 of the family's 3401-position model. The record is from RNAcentral.